GAGGCUAUAGCUCAGUGGUAGAGCGCACGCUUACCGUGUAUGAGGUCCUGGAUUCAAUCCCCAGUACCUAUA
This 72-nucleotide transfer RNA is filed under the name Camelus bactrianus (Bactrian camel). It matches the Rfam family "tRNA". Rfam says of the family: Transfer RNA (tRNA) molecules are approximately 80 nucleotides in length. Lineage: Eukaryota; Metazoa; Chordata; Mammalia; Artiodactyla; Camelidae. RNAcentral also lists the same sequence under 2 other names. The record is from Rfam by way of RNAcentral.